This 269-nucleotide ribosomal RNA is filed under the name uncultured bacterium. RNAcentral's name for it is "partial 16S ribosomal RNA". It matches the Rfam family "Bacterial small subunit ribosomal RNA", at positions 933 to 1215 of the family's 1533-position model. The record is from RNAcentral.
UGGAGCGUGUGGUUUAAUUCGAUGCUACACGAAGAACCUUACCAGGGUUUGACAUGCAAGUGGUAGGAAACCGAAAGGCGGCCGACCCUUCGGGGAGCUUGCACAGGUGCUGCAUGGCUGUCGUCAGCUCGUGUCGUGAGAUGUUCGGUUAAGUCCGCUAACGAGCGCAACCCUCGCUGUGUGUUAUAUGUGUCACACGGGACUGCCGGUCUUAAGCCGGAGGAAGGUGAGGAUGAUGUCAAGUCAGCAUGGCCUUUAUAUCUUGGGCA